Mesocricetus auratus (golden hamster) is the source of this 953-nucleotide long non-coding RNA. RefSeq lists it as uncharacterized. NCBI's taxonomy places the organism in Eukaryota, Metazoa, Chordata, Mammalia, Rodentia, Cricetidae. The record is from RefSeq and is a predicted model, not a curated record. The transcript has 2 exons.
CAGAGAUUCCUGCAGGACAGAACACUCAGAGAGGAUAAGGAAACUUUGUACCUGUCUUCUGAACCUCAAGCCAUCCAUCUCUUCAUGUGAUUUUUGUAAUUUCCUUCAUAGUAUAAUAACAGCUGUCGAAGCCACACAGAAGGCUCUGUGCAGACUGUGGUCUUAUUGUCUGUCCCCUGGAGAGCUUCUGAGACCCAGUGAUGUUGAGUUCCUAGGACACGAGAACAUUGUGACAUUUUGCCAAAUUUUUCCAGUCUAAAAAAAAAGAAAAAGAAAAGAUUCUUUUGCUGGAGAAAUUCUGUGAUAGCUGCUAAUGAAGGGAGAGACUGGACAAGGAAGAGGAAGACACAGCGCCACACACAAGUCACCAGGCCAGCCCCGACUCUCUCGGGAGCACGUUCCCAAGAUGAAACGAGGCUUUGCUCUUCCCAAGCCCCUCUCCCCCCAACACCAUUUUCUUUUUUUGUUUCCUGCUCUGGCUUCUGCCAUUCUGUCUAGAAUUGAGGCACUGAAAGGCUAAUGUGGUGGGGUUUGUUUUUCGUUUUUUGUUUUUUGUUUUUUUGUUUUUUUGUUUUUGAGGAGGGGGAGAUGUUGGGACAGGGUUUCAUUCUGUAGCCCAGGUUGGCCUUCAACCCAUGGAGAUCUUCCAGUUGCAGCUCCCUGAAUGCUGGGUACUGGUGUAAGCCACCAUAUCUGGCCUAAUGGGUUUUUGUGUUGCUAACAAUUCUAUGUUCAGUUGACAUCUGAAAUUUACCUGCAGAAAAAAAAUUGGAAAUUGAAGCAGGAGGAUUAGGAGUUCAAAACCAUCCUCAGAGCAUAACAUGGUAGAGUUUAUUUGUUAUCCCAGCACUCAGACACUGGAGGGAGGGUCAGGAGCUGGGGCUAUAGAGAUUUCAAGACCAGCCUGGGUGGGAGACCUAGACUUAAAAUAAAUAAAUAAACCAAGAAACAAA